UAUGUAGUGCCUGAUUUGAAAGGAUAAUUUUGAUAGAAUUAAUCAUGUGUAUUCACCUUCAUAA
This 64-nucleotide transfer RNA is filed under the name Dercetina varipennis. RNAcentral's name for it is "tRNA-Ile". The record is from RNAcentral. Lineage: Eukaryota; Metazoa; Arthropoda; Insecta; Coleoptera; Chrysomelidae.